AAUCUAUCACAAUCCACAACCGUGAACCAUUCUGUUGGCCUCUGGGCAGGCAGCGCUUGGCUUGCUUGCUUAGGCUAGGUGUGCGUGCUACUGUGCGCAUGCCUAGGUCGUUGUCUAAUUAGGCUACCGCUAGCUAGUGCAGCGUCGGCCUUUGCCAACCAACCAACACCAAACCAAAACAAAUUAAAACCGAGUGCUCAGCUUAGAGCUGACGCUCACCAACCAAGACAACUCUCAACAACGGAUAUCUUGGCUCUCAGAUCGAUGAAGAACGCAGCGAAAUGCGAUACGUAGUGUGAAUUGCAGAAAUACGUGAAUCAUCGAAUCUUUGAACGCAUAUUGCGCUCGAGGCUUCGGCCAAGAGCAUGUCUGCCUCAGCGUCGGGUUAAAACUCACACUACCAACUGGGUAUGUUGUGGAACUGGCUGUCUCAGCAUGCAUACGCAAGCUGGGUCAGCUGAAGUGCAGAUGUCAACACAUGGACCCGCUAAUGGGCCUCUACUGGGUAGGCAAUUUAUUGCUAUAUGCUUUAGUAGAUGGCUUAGGAUCUGUGACGUGGACACAAAACAGGCAAUGGCCACGUGCAUGCUACAUGUACCUUUUUUCGACCUGAGCUCAGGCAAGA
RNAcentral lists this small RNA (625 nucleotides) under Gonium quadratum. RNAcentral's name for it is "eukaryotic LSU rRNA". The stretch from base 230 to 383 matches the Rfam family "5.8S ribosomal RNA". Lineage: Eukaryota; Viridiplantae; Chlorophyta; Chlorophyceae; Chlamydomonadales; Volvocaceae. The record is from RNAcentral.